UGCCCCAGUAACGGCGAGUGAAGCGGCAACAGCUCAAAUUUGAAAUCUGGCCCCCCGGCCCGAGUUGUAAUUUGCAGAGGAUGCUUUUGGUGAGGCACCUACCGAGUCCCCUGGAAUGGGGCGCCAUAGAGGGUGAGAGCCCCGUAUGGUAGGACGCCGAACCUCUGUAAAGCUCCUUCGACGAGUCGAGUAGUUUGGGAAUGCUGCUCUAAAUGGGAGGUAAAUUUCUUCUAAAGCUAAAUACCGGCCAGAGACCGAUAGCGCACAAGUAGAGUGAUCGAAAGAUGAAAAGCACUUUGAAAAGAGGGUUAAAAAGUACGUGAAAUUGUUGAAAGGGAAGCGCUUGUGACCAGACUUGCGCCGGGCGGAUCAUCCAGCGUUCUCGCUGGUGCACUCCGCCCGGUUCAGGCCAGCAUCGGUUUUCGCCGGGGGACAAAGGCUUCGGGAACGUGGCUCCUUUCGGGGAGUGUUAUAGCCCGUUGCGUAAUACCCCGGCGGGGACCGACGACCGCGCUUCGGCAAGGAUGCUGGCGUAAUGGUCAUCAGCGACCCGUCUUGAAACACGGACCGAGGAGUCAAGCAUUAGUGCGAGUGUUUGGGUGUAAAACCCGCACGCGUAAUGAAAGUGAACGUAGGUGAGAGCUUCGGCGCAUCAUCGACCGAUCCUGAUGUUUUCGGAAGGAUUUGAGUAGGAGCAUUAACGCUUGGACCCGAAAGAUGGUGAACUAUACUUGAAUAGGGUGAAGCCAGAGGAAACUCUGGUGGAGGCUCGCAGCGGUUCUGACGUGCAAAUCGAUCGUCAAAUUUGAGUAUAGGGGCGAAAGACUAAUCGAACCAUCUAGUAGCUGGUUC
RNAcentral lists this ribosomal RNA (852 nucleotides) under Pyricularia grisea. RNAcentral describes it as "LSU rRNA". It matches the Rfam family "Eukaryotic large subunit ribosomal RNA", at positions 76 to 957 of the family's 3401-position model. Lineage: Eukaryota; Fungi; Ascomycota; Sordariomycetes; Magnaporthales; Pyriculariaceae. The record is from RNAcentral.